This 253-nucleotide ribosomal RNA is filed under the name uncultured bacterium. RNAcentral describes it as "partial 16S ribosomal RNA". It matches the Rfam family "Bacterial small subunit ribosomal RNA", at positions 524 to 776 of the family's 1533-position model. The record is from RNAcentral.
UACAGAGGCCUCGAGCGUUAGGCGGAAUCACUGGGCUUAAAGCGUGUGUAGGCGGACUUCUAAGUACCUUGUGAAAUCCCACGGCUCACCCGUGGAACUGCUCGGUAUACUGGUCGUCUUGAGCCCUCUAGGGGCGAGUGGAACAAAUGGUGGAGCGGUGAAAUGCGUAGAUAUCAUUUGGAACGCCAAUGGUGAAAACAACUCGCUGGGGAAGUGCUGACGCUGAGACACGAAAGCCAGGGGAGCGAACGGG